This is an RNA transcript of Anopheles stephensi (Asian malaria mosquito), 11872 nucleotides long. It is a transcript of the gene named RNA-binding protein Nova-1, with no coding region annotated. Lineage: Eukaryota; Metazoa; Arthropoda; Insecta; Diptera; Culicidae. The record is from RefSeq and is a predicted model, not a curated record. The transcript is spliced from 8 exons.
UGCUUGUGUGAUUUUUUCUUUCUUCGCUAGAAUUCAUCCAUACACUACAUGGUGACAUUUAACGCUCAAGUUUCCCUAGACCCUAGUGGCUUCAUUUUGUGAUUCCCUUUAGCAGCAUAAGUGCAUAAAAAGCCCCGGGUUUCCUUUCUUUUUUUUUACUGUGGCUGGUGUCCAUAUCCUUACACCGACCGGCUGCCAGCUCCACAAGCUGCGAUGUGGCGCUUGGGGUACGCAACGGAUCACAACGAAGGCAAAGCAAUGGAAUCGCACCUGCUGGCAAUGAUCCUGCAAAGGCUCACAAACCUUCGUCAGCUAUACGGUGGACGUCUAACGGCGAGCUCCACGACAUGAAGCUGAUAUCGUACUGAUGUAACGAAUGAGUGUGGUGCUGUGGUAGUAAAUGAAAUGUGACAAAGUUUCCUCAACCCGGGCUAAUGUACACAAUCCAAAACAACCAAGUGCAAUUAUUUCCCGAUCGAGUGUGAAAACCACAAUACCCAGCGUAGCUCAGUGAAGAGUUGCGCCCUCUUGAUGCACAGCCUAACCGCCCCGUUUCGUAGAACGGAACAAGCUCUUUCCGCAAUCGCACGAUCAUUAACCCCAGUGGUGGGACUGUGUGUUGUGGCGUAUGGUCAUUAGAGUUUGACCACACAAACUAGCUGCCAGAGAGAAGGAAACAAAAAGCAAGAAGCUUCCGUGAUAUUACUUGCCCCCUCUGUCCUGUGUGCCUUCGUCUGUGGCUGUGGUGUUCAAUCGUAUGGGCCUUACGCUGUUGGUCUGGGUGAGACUGUAGAAAGGUGUGAUUGCACACGUGUACACACCUGCCCGGUCGGUUGUCGCGGAAAAAAAGCAAACGUUCCAAAUGCUGAACAACGACCAGCGCCAGUAUGCAACGGGACAGCGGUUGGACAGUGGGCAACCGCAAACCGGUGGGAGCCAUUCGUCGGCGGAAAACUCUCCCGACCAUAGCAAUACCUCCAGCACCGGCUUCUUCAUGUUCGACGAACUUAGCUCGGCACUGGCCGAUGAGCGAAACAAUGGCAACAGCCAUCUGCACCAUCAUCAGCUGCAUCAACAGCACCGGCAACAAUCGUUGGCAAACGGAAGCAGCCCGUCGGCGGCCAGCUCCAACAACUCCGGCAGCACCAACAGUUUGCUCAGCAAUGGCGACAGUCUAAUGGCACGAAUCAAUCAGCUCAAUCAGCAGCAGUACCGUGCCGCCGGUGCCCGAUCACCGCCGUCGAAUGGUGCAACGAUCGACGGUAGCACAAUAGGAGCGGUCACCAUGCGCACUUCGCCCACGAAUGGAGGUGCCGGUGGUGCGGUCAGUUCCCUUGCACAACAGCAACACCACCACCAGCAGCAAAUGCUCGCGUCCGUGUUGGUUCGCGCUGGCGGCGGUACAUCCUUUGCGCAACAUUCGCCGAUCGAUGCCACCGAUGGCACAACAUUCCCGUCGACCGCUUCUGCUGCUGCAACCAGCAUCCAGCAGCAGUACGGUGGUGGCAGUAGCGCCCAGUUCCACAAUAGCUUUGCUCAAACUGGACAUCAACCACAGCAGCAGCAGCAGCAGCAGCACAAAGUGACCUUUUAUCAGAGUCAACAUCAACAGUACCACAAUCUUCACCAUCACCAGAACACACAGCAGAGGCCGGGUUUCGGUAAGUCUCCCGAUGCGCACAUUGAUCCCAGCAGGACGGUCGCACAACUGAACCACGCAAUGGAACUGUUCGAAGCUACGGGAACCACCACCGCCACCACAACCACAGCCACCAAUGGCGGCGGCGACAACUAUCACUUCAAGACGCUGGUACCCUCGGUCGCGGCCGGUGCCAUCAUCGGCAAGGGUGGCGAAACGAUUGCCUCGCUACAGAAGGACGCCGGUGCCCGGGUGAAGAUGUCCAAAUCGCACGACUUCUACCCCGGAACCACCGAGCGUAUCUGUCUCAUUAGCGGCACGGUCGAGGGCAUCCUGACCGUGCUCGACUUUAUCACUGACAAGAUCCGCGAGAAACCCGACAUUACCAAAGCACUGACCGAGGCGGACGCGAAGCAGGCCCAGGAGCGCGACAAGCAGGUCAAGAUCCUGGUGCCGAACACGACCGCGGGCAUGAUCAUCGGUAAGGCCGGUGCGUACAUCAAACAGAUCAAGGAGGAGUCCGGCUCCUACGUGCAGAUCUCGCAGAAGCCGAAAGAGCUGACGCUGCAGGAGCGCUGCAUCACGAUCAUCGGCGAGAAGGAGAACAACCGGAUUGCAUGCAAGAUGAUCCUGGCCAAGAUCGUCGAAGAUCCCUCAUCCGGCACCUGCUUGAACGUAUCAUACGCAGACAUCAACGGACCGGUGGCCAACUUCAACCCCACUGGUUCGCCAUUCGCCGCCUCACAGAAUCCCAAUUUCAGCUCCAGCACCGCCUCACUCAACUCCGCCAUCAGCGGGCCCCUGCCGAGUGCGACGGCCACCGGUUUGCUGGUCAACGGCACCGGACUCAAUCUGUCAUUAAACCUAGGUGCACCAUCACCACAGACUAAUCCUACAGCUAUCACACAAUUGCUUGAUCAUAUUAAGACUGCCAUGAGACAGUCCGGCUACUCGGACACGGCUACGGCUGAAGUGCAUGCCGCGCUCGGAGUCCUGGCAAAGUACGGUGUGCUGGGCAUCGGUGUCGGUCUGCAGAACGGUACCCACUCGACCACACUCGGCUAUCUGGGCAUGCCGGAAAUGCAGCAGUCGACGGCAGCCGCAGCAGCGGCAGCAUCCGCCGCCACCGGCGUGUACGGUGCCGUCGGUCAGCUCAACCUCGAUUCGUACCUGCACGGGGCGGGCACGGCGACGCCCCGCACCACCACCAUCGAUCGCUACGAUCCGACCACGUUCGAUCCGUUCCGGCAUCCGGGCACGCAGGCCGCCACACCGAUCUCGAUCAACAACAACGCCUUCGGGCUGGGCAACCCGAGCGCCCUUAAUGCGGCGGCCCAAACGCUCGGUUCGCUCAGCAAGAGCCCAACACCGGCCGAGAUGACGACCAGCAAGGAGAAGAACGUCGAAAUCCCGGAAGUGAUCGUCGGUGCCAUUCUCGGUAAUCCCUACCUGCAAUCGACAUACACGCCAUUUCUGCAAUGUGCAUAUCCCAUGAGCUCGGUCGAAAACGUGAUCGAUCAUCACUAUUAGGACGAUUCUCAGCAAGGACAUACACCAACACACAUAAGAACGAUGUUGCUUACCUAGCCUAGAGUAGAUUGUCAGAGGAGAGGCAGCUGUAGAGGGUUUUUUAAUGCGAGCUCUCGAGAAAGGAGUCUCGCGAUGCCACUGUAAACUAUCGCAAAGAAUUCCACUAAACUGUACGUUCCGUAGGAGUGCAUGUGAUAAGACCAACGGUGUCCACUGAAAGUUAGUUAGUGUACAAGGGUAGGAUGUAGUUUUCUCACCAAUUUGCCAUAUUCUUCCCAUUUGAGUGCGGUUUUACUCCACUGGUUCGCGCGCGCAGUGCGUGUGUUAGUACGUUAAGAGGCUAGUUUUGUAGUGAUUUAGUGUCAUAUCCUUGCUCGCUAUCCAUAAUUCCAUUUUACAAUUCAUAUGUGCCUUUCGAUACAGGAGCCAGUGCGAUGGCUUGAUAGAAAUGAAGAAAGAAUAGCACCCAUCAGGGUAACGCCUAGUAACGCCUAACGUUGCCACGUAGUACAAAACGAUAGCUAGGACCCAAACAGAUAUCCUUAUCUUCACACGACACCCACACAAACACAGACAGACAGGACAUACAAGUACUCUGUGAUGCAUCGAGCCGUGUUUUGACCUACUGUUCCGCCAUCGGUGCCGCUACACCAUUUGCCGGCCACCGGGCACUGUUGCGGUAGUGUGCGUGCGUUAAACCCGCGCCAGUCAGGCGGAGUGCAAGAGCGUGCGAGACACGGGUGACAGAAAAAGUUGUGCGACGAUCGAUCGGGACCGAAUCUGGCCGCUUUUUUGCGUUCCCCAUGCCCAAGACCGGCCGGGCGCAGUUUGGUCGAAAUCCAGCACAUAUCCGGCGCCAACAUACAGAUCUCGAAGAAGGGCAUCUUUGCGCCGGGCACACGGAACCGGAUCGUUACCAUCACCGGCCAGCCGAACGCGAUCAACGUGGCCCAGUUUCUAAUAGAGGACCGCAUCAGCCAGGAGGAAACGAAGCGCGCGUGCCAGACGGCGGCCAACGCCGCGGCCACCAACAAAACAUCCGCCGCGUCCGUGGCGACGGUGACGCAAUAGGGGUGCCGGACGGCAACGGGAGCAGCAGCCGUCGCCGCCACCAGCCUAGCCGCGUUCGCCAGUCCGCCCAAGAGCCGCCUCCAGUCCGCGAUCGACGAGUUUAAGGCGAACAUUCAUCUGUACGUAGCGCAUCCUUCGAUCUGAGUGCAAACGGAGGACGGAGCAGUCGCCAAAACCCCAAUGCGGCGUGCGCAAGCCGUUGCCGCGGCAGUAGGGUUUUUAGAUAGUGCAUAGUACGAGUGUGUGAUAGACAGUGAGUGCAAAAGUGGGGGGGGGAGGGAAAAAUCGGGAGAAGACAUACCGAGUAAAAGGGGACUUUACUGUUGUUGCGGUUCGUAUCGCGCAUUAGUCGCAUCUCACACGUGAAGCCUGCGAAGGCGAAGCUAUCUCUUCGCGUCAGGCAGUAAACGGUCGGCCAGAAGUUUUUGUAGGUUUUGUUUGUUUUAUGAGGGGGGGGAUAGCCAAGAAACCUGUUUUAAAUACGAAAGGAUUGUUUAUUGUUACACGUCGUUUCAACCGUACUUUGUUGUUAAUUUUAAUGCCGAUGCGUUCAGUUACUCUCUGGGUAGAGUGAUGCGGUAAAAGCAGCACGUGUCUGCAGCUAACGCAACGUGAACGAAGAAGAAGAGGAAGAAAAAAAACAUUAUCAUAUAUCUGAUAAGGGAUAAUGGAAGGACUAAAUGAGGAAAAGUUAAAGAAUUGUCAAAGCUCGAUGCAACCAGAGACAUGAUUUCGCAAUGUGAUAGCGAAAGAACACAACACGGAUGGAAGCAGACGGAUUAGGUAAUAACCAAUGUGGGAUGGUACACAAAAACAACACAAAAACAAACAUACACAUUCAUCUAACACGUACACAAAACUAACUACAUGAUACAUCUAUAUACAUACAUAGAAGUAGGAAAUAUGUCAGAUGAAUUAAUGAAUAAUUGUUAUUUUACUAGCUAAAUUGAGGGCCGUGAUUCGUUCGAGCGAGGAGGGACGGAGAUAAUCGUACACGCCGAAAAGGGAGGCAAAAACACAUCACACACAUACAUCUAGCAGAAGGCUCACGUGUACAGAACAAUUUUAACGAAGCGAUGAAACAGUGUCGAUAGUGUAACAGUGUCGAAUGAAUCAAACACGGAAGCAGUCACCACACAAAACAAAAAAAAUCACACAGUUAAAAACGGUACGUUACUAAUUCGUAAACAUCACACCAUUUAAAAGGGCAAAAUCACACACCCAAAAAAAAGCACGAAGGAUGGUAGCAAAGGAAAGUCAUCACUCAUCAUGCUCAGCGAAAGCAUAUUUAGGUUCGUUUGCUAGUUUUAGCCAGGUUAAUGUUUCAUUGUAUGUUCCAACCAACCGAGACGAGAUAGGCGUAAAAGACGAUUUAAUUAGCCGUUAAAAUAUGUUACCUUAAUGUUGUGCUGCUCAGAUUCAGAUUCAAUGCCCCAAUCGACACAAGGACAGGACAAUAGAGGUGGACCAAUGGUCUGCUCAACUGCUGCUCACGAUGCCAGUCACAGCAUGCACGUAUGCCGUAAAUGAAUACCAAAAAUGAAUCAUCGUUCCUGCUAGAGAUCAUCGGAGAAUGCGCCUCCGCCCCACUGCUGUUAACCUCAUGCGCAUCCAUUUGCAAGAUUGUUUUGUUUAUGUUUUCUUAAUUUAAUUGUAGCCCAUUUCCGAAGCGCAUACAUUCGAUUUUGCUAAAAGACGGGUUAGCUUACCCGGGCCAUAGUCACACUGAACCGAUUACCUGUCCUGUGUGUUCUAGCCGAUCGAUACCCUACGCCGGCCGCAUACGGCGGAACCAUUUUAAUUGUAGUUUUAUUCUCAUAUUUCGUUCCGCCAAACAGUACUGUACUGGUGGAAUGCUCCAACAAAAAAAAAAUACUAAAGGAGACACGUCGGGAAUUGUGGAAUAUUAUAGGAGCGGGCAACGUUUCGGUGCUUUGAAAAAAAAAAACACAGAAACGGAAAAACGAAACACGAGGUGGUGAUCCGAGCGAUCGGAAUGGAAUGGGCAUAUAGUUGGAUUUAGUCGGGAUUCUAGUGGUUUAGUUUGUACAUUUUCUUUUUGUUCUUCAUUUUACCAUCUCUGCGCAACGGAAACCGGCGAGACCCAGGGUAUAGCGGUAGGGUAGUAGGGUAAGCAAGAGGGGCGAUAUAACGCGUGUAUAGUUUUGUGUUAUCCAUUUUCGUUUUCUGUUUUACAUUUUACAUCCCUGUUAGUAGAACGUUUCAGAGCGAACGGUUGCAAAUUCGAUGCGCAGCUCUAUACUUCGCUUACUAUAUUAUAGGGGCCAGGCCUAAGAAUUCAUUUUCUUCCAAAUAUCUAAUCGUUUCGCGUUUUGCGUUCGUAAUGUUACCUUAUUGCUUAAGUUUUAUUGCAAGCGCAGACAGCAGUUAGUCACUUAGAGGGCGACUAAUACUAAAAAACCAACCCUUAUCACUGGUGUAUGUUCUUCCAAUCGCGUGGAAUUGCGGUGUGCAAUAUUUCACAUUGUUUAGAAUACCAUCUGUUUUAUACAUUACACGUUACUUCCCCAAUGUGCUUUGUUACUUUUUAUCCUCACAAACAUAAUUGUGGUUUUGUUCUUUUUUUCCGCCCUUUCAUCACGCGCAUCAACGUGCAAGUGCUGCGGACACAUGGUUUAUCUCGUUCGUUCCACCUUCCCUGGAACCUGUCUGUUAGAAGAAGAAAGAAAAAAGAAGUUAGUUUAGUUAAAAUUAAUUAGCAGUUAAAGGUUUUUCGGAUGGGGAGGGGGCGAUAAGAAACGGGAAUUAUAGAAAAGGAAGUAGAGCGAAACACAACCAAAAAGACGAGAAGGAAGCAAAAAUCUGCUUCAAUCCUGUUUCGAACGAUAAAAGCUAGAUCCUUUAGCAUCAGCAACACACAGCUGCAGCAAAAGCAAAAACCCCUGAGAAGGAAGAAAGGCAACCAAAAAACUGUAUGAAACAAUUAUAAAGAGUUUGAGCAAGGAGAGAAAGCUAAAGAAACCACAAGAAAGGGACGAUCGAGAGAGAGAGAGAAAACAUACAGAAGAGACAAUAUGCUCAAACGCUUGAGCAAAACCACGCAAAACAAAAGACACGUCGAAUUUUAUGUGCCAGGCCAUGCAACGCACCGAAGCUAAGUGUGCUUGGGCCACCCUUCCACUGAGAGUGCCGUCUCGACGAGCGACCACAGGAAGCUGAGCUUCACGGUUCCUUUCUUCUCCCCUUGCUCCUUUUCCCUUUUUUUUUUGUUUUGCCUUUCUUCCUUUGGCUCCUUUUGCUGCAUCGUUGUGUGUGUGGGUGUGUGUCCCCCCUUGUCAUCUUUCUGUUUUGCACUAUUUAAAUUUGCAAGCAUAAUAAAACUUCCGAAUUUCCUGCAGUCCUGCUGUUGUAACGCUGCAUCGGUCUCGAUACUGGGGGUUGCCAAAGGCAAACCCGCAGACCCGCACGCCCCGAGUUAGACAAAUAAGAUCGCUUAGGAUCGGAUUGUAAGAAAGUAAGCGAAUGGCUAUAAUGGCAAAGUUCCGGAACGGAAACGGGUACUGGGAAAAGCGACGAACGGCACACAUGUGCGUGGUGUUGAUUGGUGGAAAAAAGUUUGCUUAUAAGUCAAUAAGUUUAGUGCAUUAGCCCACGACACGUCACACAAGGCCACGUUUCUAAGGAUUGUAAUUAUUUGUGCAACAUAUUAAUAUCUCUUCAUUCAGUUACCAUAAAGAAAGAAGCCGUCUUACGGUUGGGCCACCGGCGAAACCGGGGUGCCAUCCAGCAGUCACCCGUUAGAAGAUUGUGAAGGAUGGAUGGAAGGAAGGAAAAGCCAGGAUUUCUUUCGGCUGCGAUGCGUACAAUGCGUUUGUAGCAGAACGGGUUUCUUUUAUGCCGUGUGUACGUGGGAAUUCCGAUCCGAGAUCGGAAGCGAAAUAGAGUGGAGCGAUUCACCGCAUCACACAUAACGCAAGUUAGUUCCAAACUAAAGUGUAGUCAAUCAGUCAUCACCGAUGUCAAAGAAGAAAAUAGAAAGGUAUAGAGAGAGAGAGAGAGCGAGUUGAAACCACUUUUAUCAUCACAACACCACAUAUAGCGCACCUCACAAUGAUAACUCACACACACGCAGAGAAAAAUCACACAUACACACAUAAACCCAUAGAACAUAUUGCAUGCAACAACACUUGUACCAUCUACUACUACUACUACUAUCUACUGUGUUAUGUUUUAUUCAAAGUUUAUCUAUAUUUAUAGUGAAAAUGAAAAUGCGCCCACACCAAUAAACAAGAUAGGAAGUUUAAAGAAGACGGUUGCAGCGAAAUUGAAGUAAUCGACGUAAUGUGGGAAGGCUAACAAACCAGGGGCAAAGUGUAGUAGGAACAUUAACAAAUUGAAUUACCACAGGCGAACGUUACCGAUUAAAAAAAAAACAGAAAAUGGGGGUUUAAUGGAAAAGCCGGCCGGAAUGCAACAACACAAGAAACGUAGGCAAGUAAACAAGAGGAACUGGAAUUGUGGAAAAGAAAGUGUGAGUGUGCGUGGAAAGGUUUAGCUGAAGAAGGAAAGUAAGAGAAAAGUACAUGAAAUACAUUACAAGAGACAAAAAUGAACACCGGUACCAGGGACAAUGGUCCCGCGAGUGUAAGUUUUUUUUUUUGUUUUCCUUUUUUUUCUUCCUUUUUAUAUGGAUAGUCGUUUUGUUUCUCCUUGUUUUACUUCCCGUUUUACAUGUUUAUUCUUCUCCGUUUGUUUUCGCUCUCUCUUUUUUCUACGUUUUAUCACUUCUUUUAUGGUUUGUACAGCUGUUUUACUCUUUUUCUCAACUUUUUCUUUAAUUUACAUUUUAUUUUUAAUGUUUUCAUUUUUAGGCAAAGUGGUUGCGUUUUGCGUGUCCGUGCAAUGCCGGAAAAAGGGAAGAAUUAAUUUAGCAAUCGAUAGUACAACAAAACCGGGCAACCAAGCGUCGCAGGAGGUGAAGUGAGGCAGGCCUGUUUUGCUGUUGGCUGUACAAAUGGCUGCAGAAGGAUAAAUAUUACAACAACAACAACAAAAAAGAAAGAAAGAAAGAAAAGGUUUGUAAAGAACGAGCAAUGUUUAGAAAGCCAAGUAUGUCUAACGUUGUGAUGGUAGAUAAAUCUAUUGCUGUUACUUGUUGAAUGGAUAACUAAACACAACACACAGACACGUACACAAAGACACACUAGAGUGCUGGAGGUAUAUUAUUUUGACGAGAGUUAGAAAAUUGAAUUACGUUGGUUAGCUCCUUAUAUUGGCUUGUUUUCUUUUGAGAUUUUCUAUCCACAGUCCACCACAUGCGGUGGAAUAAAAUUUGUACGAGUCACCGGGAAAAAUCACCAGCAAAUGUUAAAACCAGUCUUCAUAGUACGUACUUACUGAAGAAGGGAAGCUGUUCAGGCAAACUUAUCAGGCACACAACCGGUUUUCACAAGGUCGUGGAAACGUGAGAUGCGUGGCUUAGAAAAAAUACGAAUUUUAUCCUACACUCACACACACAUUUAUUGUGUGAUCCCUUCACUCCUGUUGCAUAGAGACAACAUAAGACACUCCUACCACACAUAAACAGUAACACAUUCCAUAUUAAUUGAAACAUCUCGACCGAGCUAAGAAACGAACAGUCGUUCCGAACAGCGUUGUGAAAACAAACAAAAGAAAAGUAUUUAUUAAACCUUUCAAAAACACACACAAAACUAAGAGAAAAAGGGACAGAAAAAGGAAGGGUGGAAACAAAACAUACAAAUCAAAUUAAUGCAUGCAAAACAAAGCAGUACCAUGAACAUUCGUUAAGCAAGUGUUAUUUAAAACAAAACAAAACAAAGAAAACCCAGUGCAUCAAACAUUAACCGAAUACCGCGUCCGUUACACCGUAGACAAUGUAAGGUAGAGUAAAAAAGUUUAUAGAAAGAUAUUUUUCUAACAACUAGCAACACAUAUAACACCUAUAGGAUUAAUUGGUUACACACGCACACAUAAGGGGACACUCACGUAAAGGAAGGGGUACAUGGUAAUGCAUGUUGUGUUACUGUGCGUGCGUAGUAGUAUGUCUGUGCGGGGGUUGCGCCAAAGGAAGAAAAAAAAACCACCCGUGUGUUAUUACUGUGUAUUAGUCGCGAGAGCUCUAUAGAAGCGAAGGUGAAGGAAAGGAUGUUUGUAUUGCAUUCUUUCAACUAUACUCUCUUUCUACUAUAAAAAGAAAACCCCCUAUUAAAGACGGAUGAAAAGAUAGAGAAAGGAAGGACAUACAUUUGAGUAGAAUCCCGACCGAACGUUUCUUGUAGUAUGAUACUGUUAGACUGAGCGAUAGCUAUGUGUAAGCGAAGGGCGACUAGGUAAAUACUUUUCCCAGCAAAGAAAGGAAAGCUUCCUCAACAAUCCGCUGUUAAAGGGCGCCAGAGCUCAGUCUGAAGCUUGGGUGACUUCGAUGCGGCAGUAGAAGACGAACCUUGUUUGUUUUUUGUUAAAAUAGUCUAAUUUUUGUAAAUUGUUAUCUGCAAUUUCUGCACACCAAAAAAAAAAAACCGAUUGUACAUGGUAGCCUCAGCCACACUGUAAAGUCCAUCUUACUAUUUUCUUCCUAAUGAUGCACACGGUAAAACGUUUUUGGGCAAUGGAGGCAAUGGGUCAAAAUGCAAGGGCUUCAUCACGGCAGGUGAGCUCCCUGCUUUCCCAAUUAUGAUGCACACACUGCACCACCAUACCACCAUGUUACACCGAUAUAGCUAAUCGAUGCAAUGCAACUGCAUGUUCUACUACUACUACUACCAUUACUACUACUACUACCACUACUGUAACUACUAAAAGAAGAACUUUGCCAUACCUCCUUCAAGAGAAAGAAACAAAACAAACACCACAUUUUUCCCACAUCUGUGCGCCAGGGUUUUUCGCAAAAGUGUGACAAAACCAACACCCGCCCCGUUAUUGUGCUCAUGUUUCUAGGUAUGGUUUUGGGUUUGAAAGACGUUUAAUACGGUAUGUAACGUGUAGCAAACUUAUGAAAUGUAUCUAAAUAAGAAAGAAAAACAACAACACUCGUUAUUUUUUCGUUUUUCUUUGUUCUAAUAUGAUAGCAAAAACCAGUUCAUCCAUACAAAAAACUGCAGGGGUUGAAGGAUAAGAAUGAUGCAAUUGCAAUAGCUAAAAAAAUUUAAACCCACACUACACCACUAUUGAAUGAUAGACAAUAUUUUCCACGACAACCCUUUAAAGCACACUCACUCACUCUCUCCCUGAAGAGGUUGCUGUAAGAUAGAAGAGUUCUAAGAAAAUCCCUCAUUCCAAUCGAAAUAAGGGGGCAAACCCGUUUUUUAAUACCACUACUAUUACUACUCUCCACGGCACGCGGUCUCACGGGCGCACAGUUAAGCAUCGAUCACACGUUUCUCUACACACACUCUCUCUCUUUCUCUCUUAUUCAACUUUUUUCCCAACAAAAAGAACACUCACACUCAAACACAAACUACAUACAGAACUUUACACGAGCCCAUUUAGGGAAAAAUGGUUUUAAACAGCUGUUGAAGUUCAUGUUGUUCAUGCUGCUGCUUUAAGUGAAAUGCUAGCAAAGCAAAAUGGAACAAAACAAACCAAUGCACAUGAGCAACGGGUAGUUUAAGUUAUCUUUCACCCGUAUCUUCUAUUAUCGAAAUAGCAAAA